CGGCACGGGUGGAGUAACACGUAUCCAACCUGCCGUCUACUCUUGGACAGCCUUCUGAAAGGAAGAUUAAUACAAGAUGGCAUCAUGAGUUCACAUGUUCACAUGAUUAAAGGUAUUCCGGUAGACGAUGGGGAUGCGUUCCAUUAGAUAGUAGGCGGGGUAACGGCCCACCUAGUCUUCGAUGGAUAGGGGUUCUGAGAGGAAGGUCCCCCACAUUGGAACUGAGACACGGUCCAAACUCCUACGGGAGGCAGCAG
RNAcentral lists this ribosomal RNA (257 nucleotides) under uncultured bacterium. Its description in RNAcentral is "partial 16S ribosomal RNA". It matches the Rfam family "Bacterial small subunit ribosomal RNA", at positions 98 to 354 of the family's 1533-position model. The record is from RNAcentral.